RNAcentral lists this ribosomal RNA (253 nucleotides) under uncultured bacterium. RNAcentral describes it as "partial 16S ribosomal RNA". It matches the Rfam family "Bacterial small subunit ribosomal RNA", at positions 524 to 776 of the family's 1533-position model. The record is from RNAcentral.
UACGAGGGGGGCAAAUGUUGUUCGGAAUCAUUGGGCGUAAAGAGCGUGUAGGCGGCCCGGUAAGUCCGCUGUGAAAGUCCAGGGCUCAACCCUGGGAUGCCGGUGGAUACUGUCGGGCUCGAGUCCGGAAGAGGAGUGUGGAAUUCCUGGUGUAGCGGUGAAAUGCGCAGAUAUCAGGAGGAACACCAAUGGCGAAGGCAGCACUCUGGGACGUGACUGACGCUGAGACGCGAAAGCGUGGGGAGCAAACAGG